GCGGCGUGCGGAGCGGGGCAGGCGCGGGCCAGGCCCCCGGGCCCAGUCCUUAAAUCCCCCGACAGCCUUGGAGCCUGCAGAGAAUGUCCUCCCCACUGUCCAGAAAUACAGGAUGUGCUUUUAAAGGAUCAGCUGCACAUUUGUUUCCUCCUCGUUCUGCUCCUCAGGCCUGACUCGGGGACUCAGACCCCUGUGACAAGGUCUGACUGAAUUAUUUAUUCGUUUCUGGUCAAUCGCUGGUAAUGGCAUUAACAUUCGUCCAUCAAAG
Molecule: long non-coding RNA, 268 nt
Organism: Cynocephalus volans (Philippine flying lemur)
Lineage: Eukaryota; Metazoa; Chordata; Mammalia; Dermoptera; Cynocephalidae
Exons: 3
Source: RefSeq, a predicted model, not a curated record